Long non-coding RNA from Tarenaya hassleriana, 583 nucleotides. RefSeq lists it as uncharacterized. The transcript has 4 exons. NCBI's taxonomy places the organism in Eukaryota, Viridiplantae, Streptophyta, Magnoliopsida, Brassicales, Cleomaceae. The record is from RefSeq and is a predicted model, not a curated record.
GCAAGGCCAGUACUGAAGCGAUCGGAUCUGAACGCACAGAACAAUCUCCUUUACCAUGGGAAAUGGUGAAAGAAGAAGACCCAGGAAGAAGAUGAAAGCCGCCGCGGCGGCAAGGAUGAACAAAAGAUGAUGAACUCGGAAAAUGAAGAAUACUUCUAUGGUGAUGACGCCGAUGAGGAUUCUCGAGACGGUACUGUACAUUUCUGGAUUGAAGGUGAUGGAGAGGUGAAGAAGAGGGGUUUUAGCAAACUAGAAUUGAAGCCUGAUCAUGCAAACAGGCCAUCGUGGGCAUGUGCAGAUGGAAGAAUUUUCCUCGACACAUUCUCUCCCCUUUACAAACAAGCCCUACGAUUUUCUCAUUGCCAUGGCAGAACCUGUUUGCAGGCCAGAGGCCAAAGGUUUUACUCCCCUGUUGAACCUUUGAUAAUAUCUCCAAAGACAUAGCUGCAACUGUCCUUACCCUUUUUUAUGCAGUGGAUAAUCUAGGAUGUUCCCUUGACGGAAUAAUGUUUAGGGGCUGAUAAUGUAUCUUCAACAAAACUUGUGGGUUAUUAUGCAAAUUCCCGUCAUUAGUUUAAUAUUA